UACGGAGGUUCCUAGCGUUGUUCGGAAUUACUGGGCGUAAAGGGAGCGCAGGCGGACAGGUCAGUCUAAAGUGGAAUCCCGGGGCUCAACCUCGGACGUGCUUUGGAUACUGCUUGUCUUGAGUUCGUGAGAGGAAAGCGGAAUUCAGGGUGUAGCGGUGAAAUGCUUAGAUAUCCUGAGGAACACCGGUGGCGAAAGCGGCUUUCUGGUACGAAACUGACGCUGAGGCUCGAAAGCGUGGGGAGCGAACGGG
This 253-nucleotide ribosomal RNA is filed under the name uncultured bacterium. RNAcentral's name for it is "partial 16S ribosomal RNA". It matches the Rfam family "Bacterial small subunit ribosomal RNA", at positions 524 to 776 of the family's 1533-position model. The record is from RNAcentral.